UACGAAGGGGGCUAGCUUUGCUCGGAAUCACUGGGCGUAAAGGGUGCGUAGGCGGGUCUUUAAGUCAGGGGUGAAAUCCUGGAGCUCAACUCCAGAACUGCCUUUGAUACUGAGGAUCUUGAGUUCGGGAGAGGUGAGUGGAACUGCGAGUGUAGAGGUGAAAUUCGUAGAUAUUCGCAAGAACACCAGUGGCGAAGGCGGCUCACUGGCCCGAUACUGACGCUGAGGCACGAAAGCGUGGGGAGCAAACAGG
This 253-nucleotide ribosomal RNA is filed under the name uncultured bacterium. RNAcentral's name for it is "partial 16S ribosomal RNA". It matches the Rfam family "Bacterial small subunit ribosomal RNA", at positions 524 to 776 of the family's 1533-position model. The record is from RNAcentral.